GCCAUUGUGGGGUAGUGGUUGACCAUUGGAGUAUGACUCUGGAGACCAGGGUUCGAAUCCCGGCUUGGCC
This 70-nucleotide transfer RNA is filed under the name Phrynosoma platyrhinos (Desert horned lizard). RNAcentral describes it as "tRNA-OTHER". The record is from RNAcentral. Lineage: Eukaryota; Metazoa; Chordata; Lepidosauria; Squamata; Phrynosomatidae.